UACGAAGGGGGGCUAGCGUUGCUCGGAAUUACUGGGCGUAAAAGCGCACGUAGGCGGAUCUUUAAGUCAGGGGUGAAAUCCUGGAGCUCAACUCCAGAACUGCCUUUGAUACUGAGGACCUUGAGUUCGGGAGAGGUGAGUGGAACUGCGAGUGUAGAGGUGAAAUUCGUAGAUAUUCGCAAGAACACCAGUGGCGAAGGCGGCUCACUGGCCCGAUACUGACGCUGAGGUGCGAAAGCGUGGGGAGCA
Molecule: ribosomal RNA, 249 nt
Filed under: uncultured bacterium
Lineage: Bacteria
Description: partial 16S ribosomal RNA
Rfam family: Bacterial small subunit ribosomal RNA
Source: RNAcentral